UCUGGUGGCGAUAGCAGAGUGGACACACCCGUUCCCAUCCCGAACACGGAAGUUAAGCACUCUAUCGGCGAAGGUAGCAUGGCUUGACCAUGUGAGAAUAGCAAGCUGCCAGGU
Molecule: ribosomal RNA, 114 nt
Filed under: bacterium
Lineage: Bacteria
Source: RNAcentral